GACGAACGCUGGCGGCGUGCUUAACACAUGCAAGUCGAACGGUGAAGCGCCUUCCUUUUUGGUGGGUGUGGAUGAGUGGCGAACGGGUGAGUAACAGGUGAGUAACCUGCCCCCUUCUUCUGGAUAACCGCAUGAAAGUGUGGCUAAUACGGGAUAUUCUGGGUCUGUCGCAUGAUGGGUCUGGGAAAGAUAUUGUUUCGGUGGGGGAUGGGCUCGCGGCCUAUCAGCUUGUUGGUGGGGUGAUGGCCUACCAAGGCGGUGACGGGUAGCCGGCCUGAGAGGGUGGACGGUCACACUGGGACUGAGACACGGCCCAGACUCCUACGGGAGGCAGCAGUGGGGAAUAUUGCACAAUGGGCGCAAGCCUGAUGCAGCGACGCCGCGUGAGGGAUGGAGGCCUUCGGGUUGUGAACCUCUUUCGCCAGUGAAGCAGGCCUGCCUCGUUUGUGGGUGGGUUGACGGUAGCUGGAUAAGAAGCGCCGGCUAACUACGUG
This 494-nucleotide ribosomal RNA is filed under the name uncultured bacterium. RNAcentral describes it as "partial 16S ribosomal RNA". It matches the Rfam family "Bacterial small subunit ribosomal RNA", at positions 28 to 507 of the family's 1533-position model. The record is from RNAcentral.